This 73-nucleotide transfer RNA is filed under the name Chloroflexota bacterium. RNAcentral describes it as "Chloroflexi bacterium (permafrost metagenome) tRNA-Glu". It matches the Rfam family "tRNA". From Rfam's summary of the family: Transfer RNA (tRNA) molecules are approximately 80 nucleotides in length. Their secondary structure includes four short double-helical elements and three loops (D, anti-codon, and T loops). The record is from RNAcentral. Lineage: Bacteria; Bacillati; Chloroflexota. RNAcentral also lists the same sequence under 4 other names.
GCCCCCAUCGUCUAGUGGACCAGGACGUGGCCCUUUCAAGGCUAAAACUGGAGUUCGAAUCUCCACGGGGGCA